Molecule: ribosomal RNA, 159 nt
Filed under: Ostreopsis ovata
Lineage: Eukaryota; Dinophyceae; Peridiniales; Ostreopsidaceae
Description: 5.8S ribosomal RNA
Rfam family: 5.8S ribosomal RNA (bases 61-159)
About the family: 5.8S ribosomal RNA (5.8S rRNA) is a component of the large subunit of the eukaryotic ribosome. It is transcribed by RNA polymerase I as part of the 45S precursor that also contains 18S and 28S rRNA. Functionally, it is thought that 5.8S rRNA may be involved in ribosome translocation.
Source: RNAcentral
GCACUUGUUAGUUGUAGCAUGACAUUUCUUAUUGUUAUAUUUACAUAAUCAUUAACUGUCUUCUGACAGCAAUGAAUGCAUCAAUUCAAAACAAUAUGAAGAGUGCAGCCAAAUGCAGUAAUCAUUGCAAAUUGCAGAAUUCCGUGAGUCAUUUUCUUG